Molecule: non-coding RNA, 27 nt
Filed under: Homo sapiens (human)
Lineage: Eukaryota; Metazoa; Chordata; Mammalia; Primates; Hominidae
Source: RNAcentral
UGAGUCAGAAUGUGCUCUGUGAUGAGA